UUAGAAUUGUGCCCAGCAGAACUGGUGACUGCAUCAGCCUAAGUGGAUUAGUCUGCUUGGCUGCCAUAACUGGGAGUCUUAACAGAAAUUUAACUUCUCACAGUUCUGGGGCCUGGAAAUCCAAGGUCAAGGUGCUGGAGGGGUUGUUUUCUGGUGAGGGCUCUCUUCCCGGUUUGCAGACAGCCUUCUCCUCACCAUGUCUUCACAGGGCAGAGAGAGCAAGCUCCGCUGUCUCUUCCUCUUCUUAUAAGGAUGUCAGUUUUGUUGGAUUAGGGCCCCAUCCUUAUGACAUCAUUUAACCCUAAAAAAAACGCCUUAUCUUCAAAUACAGUCAGACUGGAGGUGAGGGCUAAAACAAGGAUUUUGAGAAGGACACAAUUCACUUCAUAAAGCUCGUGAGCCCUGAGGAUGGGCAGCCUAUCUUCCACUCCCUCAGAAUGUCUUCACAUCUCCUAACAAAGGAUGAACAAAGAACAGAGCCCUUCAGAACAACAGAAACACAGUAUUGGAGCCAACCUCACAUUGACUAAUCCCCAGGAAGGCACACAGGCUCAGUCACAGUCAGAGAAUAUUUGAAGGGAAAAGGCCUUUGAGAUCAUCCAGUUCAGUUUUCCCAACACGGGUCCAGGAUGUCAUCAGUCACAACUGACGUUCCUGGAAAAAAGAUAUCAUGGCAAGGUAAGUUUGGGCUA
RNAcentral lists this long non-coding RNA (692 nucleotides) under Homo sapiens (human). Its description in RNAcentral is "HSALNT0130579". Lineage: Eukaryota; Metazoa; Chordata; Mammalia; Primates; Hominidae. The record is from RNAcentral.